CGAAACUCAAGUGUGCAGAGCUCUGCUUCGCUAGGACUUCUUCCACUCCAAAUGACCUGCCUUUAAUGAGUGGGGGAUGCCUCCUAUUUAUAGGGAUUCUUAUGGGGGUAAUCUGGUCAUUUGGACAGUAACCGCCUAACUGCCUAACUGAUCAGAUCGAGGCCCAAGGUCGACUUUCCAGAGAUCGACUUUCUGGGGAUC
RNAcentral lists this long non-coding RNA (201 nucleotides) under Zostera marina. RNAcentral describes it as "long non-coding RNA (ZMAR_LNC000579)". Lineage: Eukaryota; Viridiplantae; Streptophyta; Magnoliopsida; Alismatales; Zosteraceae. The record is from RNAcentral.